This 508-nucleotide ribosomal RNA is filed under the name uncultured bacterium. RNAcentral's name for it is "partial 16S ribosomal RNA". The record is from RNAcentral.
GGAGUUAGCCGGUGCUUCUUCUGUGAGUGAUGUCCUUCCUGCCGGUUAUUGACCCGCAGGCCUUCUUCCUCACUGAAAGUGCUUUACAACCCGAAGGCCUUCUUCACACACGCGGCAUGGCUGGAUCAGGGUUGCCCCCAUUGUCCAAUAUUCCCCACUGCUGCCUCCCGUAGGAGUCUGGGCCGUGUCUCAGUCCCAGUGUGGCUGAUCAUCCUCUCAGACCAGCUACGGAUCGUCGCCUUGGUGAGCCGUUACCUCACCAACCAGCUAAUCCGACAUAGGCUCAUCCGAUAGCGCGAGGCCCGAAGGUCCCCCGCUUUCCCCCGUAGGGCGUAUGCGGUAUUAGCCUGGGUUUCCCCAGGUUAUCCCCCGACUACCGGGCAGAUUCCUAUGCAUUACUCACCCGUCCGCCGCUCGCCACCAGGGAGCAAGCUCCCCGUGCUGCCGCUCGACUUGCAUGUGUUAGGCCUGCCGCCAGCGUUCAAUCUGAGCCAGGAUCAAACUCUGA